ACAGCAGUAGCCGCGGUAAUACGGAGGGUGCAAGCGUUAUCCGGAUUCACUGGGUUUAAAGGGUGCGUAGGCGGAUCUGUAAGUCAGUGGUGAAAUCUCCAGGCUUAACCUGGAAACUGCCGUUGAUACUAUAGGUCUUGAAUUUUGUGGAGGUUAGCGGAAUAUGUCAUGUAGCGGUGAAAUGCAUAGAUAUGACAUAGAACACCAAUUGCGAAGGCAGCUGGCUACACAACUAUUGACGCUGAGGCACGAAAGCGUGGGGAUCAAACAGGAUUAGAUACCCCCGUAGUCCCUGUCUCUUAUAC
This 305-nucleotide ribosomal RNA is filed under the name uncultured bacterium. Its description in RNAcentral is "partial 16S ribosomal RNA". It matches the Rfam family "Bacterial small subunit ribosomal RNA", at positions 508 to 807 of the family's 1533-position model. The record is from RNAcentral.